GUGGGUCUUCCGCCAUUGAAGAGCAGAAGCCGGUGCCGGAGAAUCUGAGAGACAGAGGGAAUUUCAACCCAACCAAGUACUUUGUGGAGGAGGUGGUGACAGGGGUCGAUGAGUCUGACCUGUACCGGACAUGGAUCAAAGUGGUUGCUACCCGCAACACACGUGAGCGCGGCUCCAGGCUUGAGAACAUGUGCUGGCGCAUUUGGCAUCUUACCCGUAAGAAGAAACAGUUGGAGAUCGAGGAACAUCAGCGGUUGGCAAACCGCA
Molecule: non-coding RNA, 267 nt
Organism: Prunus avium (sweet cherry)
Lineage: Eukaryota; Viridiplantae; Streptophyta; Magnoliopsida; Rosales; Rosaceae
Source: RefSeq, a predicted model, not a curated record